AUACCAAACUACUAUAAAAUUAUAAAGAAACCAAUGGAUUUAUCCACCGUGAAAAAGAAGCUUCAGAAAAAACAUUCCCAACACUACCAAAUCCCGGAUGACUUUGUGGCCGAUGUCCGUUUGAUCUUCAAGAACUGUGAAAGGUUUAAUGAAAUGAUGAAAGUUGUUCAAGUUUAUGCAGACACACAAGAGAUUAAUUUGAAGGUAAGCUUUUCAGACCAUGCAAACUUGGUGAAGGAAUAUGCAUUACCAAUAGGUGAAUAUUCCUAUCUUUUGCUUGCAGGCUGAUUCAGAAGUAGCUCAGGCAGGGAAAGCAGUUGCAUUGUACUUUGAAGAUAAACUCACAGAGAUCUACUCAGACAGGACCUUCGCACCUUUGCCAGAGUUUGAGCAGGAAGAGGAUGAUGGUGAGGUAACUGAGGACUCUGAUGAAGACUUUAUACAGCCCCGCAGAAAACGCCUAAAGUCAGAUGAGAGACCAGUACAUAUAAAGUAAAAUGACAUGGAUUUAAAUCAAUUGUUUAAAAAAAAAAAAA
This 536-nucleotide long non-coding RNA is filed under the name Homo sapiens (human). RNAcentral's name for it is "non-protein coding lnc-BCAS2-4:1". The record is from RNAcentral. Lineage: Eukaryota; Metazoa; Chordata; Mammalia; Primates; Hominidae.